This 253-nucleotide ribosomal RNA is filed under the name uncultured bacterium. RNAcentral's name for it is "partial 16S ribosomal RNA". It matches the Rfam family "Bacterial small subunit ribosomal RNA", at positions 524 to 776 of the family's 1533-position model. The record is from RNAcentral.
UACAUGGGGUGCAAGCGUUGCUCGGAAUUAUUGGGCGUAAAGCGCACGUAGGUGGUCUGUUAUGUCAGAUGUGAAAGCCCUCGGCUUAACUGAGGAAGUGCACCUGAAACUGGCAGGCUUGAGUACGAAAGAGGGUCGCGGAAUUCCCGGUGUAGAGGUGAAAUUCGUAGAUAUCGGGAGGAACACCGGUGGCGAAGGCGGCGACCUGGUUCGAUACUGACACUGAGGUGCGAAAGCGUGGGGAGCAAACAGG